Molecule: ribosomal RNA, 798 nt
Filed under: uncultured fungus
Lineage: Eukaryota; Fungi
Description: eukaryotic LSU rRNA
Rfam family: 5.8S ribosomal RNA (bases 193-346)
Source: RNAcentral
GUGAGGGCUGUCGCUGACUCAAAGUCGUGCACGCCCGAGUGUGUCCUCUCACAUAAUAAUCCAUCUCACCCUUUGUGCAUCGCCGCGUGGGCACCCUUUGGGAUCAUCUCGGAGGGGGCUCGCGUUUUCACACAAACCCCCCUUUUAAAAGUGUAGAAUGACCUCAUUUAUGCGCUAACACGCAAUCAAUACAACUUUCAACAACGGAUCUCUUGGCUCUCGCAUCGAUGAAGAACGCAGCGAAAUGCGAUACGUAAUGUGAAUUGCAGAAUUCAGUGAAUCAUCGAAUCUUUGAACGCACCUUGCGCCCCUUGGUAUUCCGAGGGGCACACCCGUUUGAGUGUCGUGAAAACCUCAACCUCCUUGGUUUCUUCUGGAGACCAAAGGCAGGCUUGGACUUUGGAGGCCUUUGCUGGAACCUCUCUCUUUUGAAGGCCAGCUCCUCUUAAACGAAUUAGCAGGGUCCUCUUUGCCGAUCCUCGACGUGUGAUAAGAUGUUUCCAUGUCUUGGUUUCUGGCUCUGUCACUUUUGGGACCCGCUUCUAACCGUCUUGACCUUGCAUCGAGACAAUGUUCGAGCAUGUCUCCCUUCUCGGGAAGCUCCCUCGACCCCACGAACCCUUGACCUCAAAUCGGGUGAGACUACCCGCUGAACUUAAGCAUAUCAAUAAGCGGAGGAAAAGAAACUAACAAGGAUUCCCCUAGUAACUGCGAGUGAAGCGGGAAAAGCUCAAAUUUAAAAUCUGGCGGUCUUUGGCCGUCCGAGUUGUAAUUUAGAGAAGCGUCUUCCGCGCUGGA